This 187-nucleotide ribosomal RNA is filed under the name uncultured Glomus. Its description in RNAcentral is "partial 18S ribosomal RNA". It matches the Rfam family "Eukaryotic small subunit ribosomal RNA", at positions 568 to 754 of the family's 1831-position model. The record is from RNAcentral. Lineage: Eukaryota; Fungi; Glomeromycota; Glomeromycetes; Glomerales; Glomeraceae.
CAGCCCGCCGCGGUAAUUGCAGCUCCAGUGGNNCGUAUAUUAAAGUUGUUGCAGUUAAAAAGUUCGUAGUUGAAUUUCGGGAUUAGUGCGCCGGUCGUGCCUUCGGUAUGUACUGGUGUUACUGGUUCCUACCUUCUGACGAACCGUCAUGUCAUUAAUUUGGUGUGGCGGGGAAUCAGGACUGUUA